GCCACUUGAUUUUAUACAGAAAAGAAACUUUCUCUACAAAUAUAUGAUUAAUCUUUUCUUUCUGUCUGAAGCAGACUUUCAGAACUCAUGGUUUUAAGUUUCAUUGUUUUUGAGAAUGGCGUAUGUUUGUUGCAGUGGUAAGACACUAGGCAAGAACACAAGCAAAACAAAUCACUGUUUUGUACUAGCUACAUCACAAGCUACUGUGAUGUAGCUUGUCUGUAGUUUCCAACAUAGAUGCACUAAGCAAAGCAGCCAUCUGGACCAGAUCCUGCUGCUGUUGUGUACACUGAACAUAGUCUAAGCCUGUACCCAUCUGAUUUCCCUGAAGUUAGAUAUGCAAUAGAGUUCUACUUGGCUCAUGUAAAAAUGAUGUAAGUCAGUCCAUUCAAAUUUAAGUGGAACUGUCUCAGUUGUACAAAACUGUCUUAGAAGAAACCAACUGAGCAGGUAAACCUCCAUCUCUGCAUGGUGGGAUCCACAUUUUGGGAUAAAACCUCUAUACAUGCAAUACUGUACAAGGCAUAUGGAAAGGUUUGUCGAACUAUCCCACAGGGCAUUUGCUGUUUACAUGUGGAUCUACAAACGAUGUGCAUUAAAAGGUCACUACAUUCAACUAGUCAUUGUCCAGGCUCAGAACAAGGUUUCAUGAAUGUCUUCUUGAAAGGAGCAUUGGGGGCCUGACUGUUACCAGAUGAGUCACAGAGGCAACUUCAGUUUCAGCCAUGGCACACCAUGGACAAAGAUUAAAGGAUUAAACUUCAGCCUAACCAAGAUCUUCAACAUGAAGCAGUGGAUGAAAAUGUCACUUCACAUCUAGAAAUUAUCAAUAUCU
Molecule: long non-coding RNA, 835 nt
Filed under: Anas platyrhynchos platyrhynchos (common mallard)
Lineage: Eukaryota; Metazoa; Chordata; Aves; Anseriformes; Anatidae
Description: lncRNA (ENSAPLG00000021895.1)
Source: RNAcentral